RNAcentral lists this long non-coding RNA (40189 nucleotides) under Citrus sinensis (sweet orange). RNAcentral's name for it is "long non-coding RNA (CSIN_LNC000339)". The record is from RNAcentral. Lineage: Eukaryota; Viridiplantae; Streptophyta; Magnoliopsida; Sapindales; Rutaceae.
CUACCGAUCCUUUCAUUAUUUGAUACUCAAACGUAACGUAUACAAUAGAGAGAGAUCCAAAAUGGGAAAAAGUUACAAUACAUACACGAACACUAGCUACUAGCAAAUUUUAUAUGUUGUGUUUUCAAUUUUGUGAGAUGUCUCAUCUCCAAAAGAAAUGCUGGACAGAAUCUUGCCAGGAAAGCACAAGCAUGAGCAUGACCAAAAUCCCAGCGAGUCCCCAUGACGAAGCCCCAAUUCUGAGCACCCAAGAAGGAUCGGGAGAUGGAAAAACUGAUCCUCUCUCCAUUGAAGAAGAAGAAGUAGUAGUUUUGAUGGCAAUUAUAAGGACAGCUAGAACCAUGGGAAGAACAAAGCUAGAGUUCCAAUAUUUUGUCUCAUUAUGAAAUAUUGUAUGGUGGUGAUAACGAUGAUCGUUUUUUAUUGUCACAUAGAGUGGCGACAAAACUAUAGCUGAUACCAAAGCCAACCCCAUGGCGACUGCUCUUUGUGAUGAUGAGUUUUGGCCUGCGUAGUUGUAUGCAUUAGCAGCCAUUGAAAGAAGUGAAUUAAUUAAAUUAACUCUCUCAAUCCUGCAGGACUACUAUAUAUAAGAAAACCAACUUGGUGAUGUGGAGAAAAUUGAUGGGGAGUUUUAUAGGAGGAAGAAGAGAGAACAAGUGAAGGAAUCUAGUUGUAAAGCUUGUGAUUUGAUGACAAAAGUGAUGGAGUCAUCAUAGACAUAGCCGUCCAAAAAGUGAAAAAAGGAGAUGAGUUAUUUGGAGAAAAAGGCAAGAGAAAGGUGAGAAAGCAUAGGUAAAUGAAGAAAAAGGAUUGGAAUUCUUUGGAAGUAAGGUAUCUUUAAUUUGGUGUGUUCAUACAUGUCUACAAGGCACUGCUAGCUGGAAUCACUUUUGUGAGAUACAUACAUACAUACAUACAUACAUACAUAUACUGCCUCAUUGCGUGGCCUGUGUCUUAUUGUGCUUGGAAGUAUAUGUUUAUAAAUGCAUGUUGGUUUGUUCGCAAAACAAAUGUAUAUUAGUGUAUUAUUAUUAUUAUUAUUAUUAUCCGUAUGAUAUACACAAGAAAGUAAGUGAAAAAUACGCAUUAUAGCUUAUAUCCGUUUAAGUUUUGGUAUGCAUAUUUAUAUAUACAUAUACUUACGCCUAAUACAUGAGAGCUCAUUUAUACAAUUCGUGUACUGUAUUAUCACAAAGAGAGUCUUCCAUGCUCCUUGGAGCACCAUAUAAGUCACUAACAAAAGGAGUUUCAUUUUUCCAUUCUUUCUUCACCAAUGGUUUCUCUCUCAUUCCAACUUAAAUUGUCACCAAAAUCAUGUGCUGGCAGCAAGAAAAAUAAUUUCAUUUUUUUUUUUUGGCAGAGGGAGAAAUGAAACAUUUGGGUUCCCUUAUAAAUUGUUUCUACUACUUGAGUGAGUCUCUCAUAUUAUGUUUAAUAUCUCAUUUAAUACUUAAUCUUUUGUUAAUUAUUUGUCUAACAUUUUUUUCUUUUUUUUAACAAACUUGAUCUCACUCUCUCUAAAAUCAAAUAUACUUUCCGAGAAUAUACAACUAACUAUACCUACCUUAAAAGCUCAUGACCUAAUCUCUUUUUGAGUAAAUUUUAUUAACGUGAUUAAUAGUUAAUAAAUUAAAAAGUAAAAAUAAUUACAUUUUAUUAUAUAUUAACAUUAAAAUACAUGUGUCACAAAAUUUAUAAAAAAUCAGGAGAGUUUAAAUUAGGAGAGAAUCCUAAUUUAAAAAAUAAAAAAAAACAUGUCACGGUUGUAAUAAUGAUUAAUUGACUAUUAAUUGAUCAGCUUAUUUUGCUGACCCCUCUUGACAUUUUAAUGGAUAUUAAAUUGUUAAUUUGUUAUUAUUUUGUUUUUGGCAGUUUCUAAAGACGUACAGGAACCUGCAUAAUGCAUAAGGAUGGCAAUGGGGAGGGGAGGGGAGGGGACCAAUCUCCCCGAUAUUUUGCAUAUGUCCCCGUCCCCUCCCCAUCCCCGUCAAAAUUAUUUAAGAGAAUCCUCAUCCCCUCCCCGAAUAAUAACAGGGGAUCCCUGAGGGUCCCCGAUCCCCGAAUAACUAAUACAUUUUUUUUAUUUUCGAUUUUGAGUUAAUCAUAUUAAAAUAAAAAAUACAAACAUCAAUCGAGAGACUCACCCUUCUGGUGUAAAGUGUAAACAAUCGUGACAAUCCACACCGUCGUCGGCUCCCCUCUCUUUGCUCUCUCUCGUCUCUUGCCCGCCAGGUUUAGGCUCCAUUUGGUACAGCUUAUUAAAUAGAGCUUAUAACAAUAGAGCUUAUAGCAGUAGAGUUUAUACCAAUAAAAUUUUUGGAUAAAAAGUCAUUGGGUAUUUAAUUGUUAAUAAAAAAAAUAUUUUUAAAUCAUUAAACUGUAUGAUAUUUUUUUUAUUAUAUAUUUUUUAGAUAAGCUCUUUAACUUUUACUUCCAAAAGUUCAAAUUUUGAGCUUUUACUAGUAGAGGUAAAUUAGUUUAUUUAAGCUAAAAAAACUCUACUAAAAAAAUAACCAAACAUCAUAAAAUUUUUUAAAAAGUACUUAUGCGAUUAAAUAAGCACUUAUGACUCUUAAAUAAGCCAUACCAAACAGUCACUUAAUAUAUUUUGUCUAUCUUUUUUUACUAUUUCACGAGGGGAAGAGAGGGCUGGAAUGUUUGGGCCGUAACGACCAAUGGGCCUUUGGCCCAAUAACGUAAUUCGUGAAAACCAGUUGAAAAAUAUAAUGAAAUAGAGGAGAAAAUAAUAAUUGAAUUACUACUACCGAUCCUUUCAUUAUUUGAUACUCAAACGUAACGUAUACAAUAGAGAGAGAUCCAAAAUGGGAAAAAGUUACAAUACAUACACGAACACUAGCUACUAGCAAAUUUUAUAUGUUGUGUUUUCAAUUUUGUGAGAUGUCUCAUCUCCAAAAGAAAUGCUGGACAGAAUCUUGCCAGGAAAGCACAAGCAUGAGCAUGACCAAAAUCCCAGCGAGUCCCCAUGACGAAGCCCCAAUUCUGAGCACCCAAGAAGGAUCGGGAGAUGGAAAAACUGAUCCUCUCUCCAUUGAAGAAGAAGAAGUAGUAGUUUUGAUGGCAAUUAUAAGGACAGCUAGAACCAUGGGAAGAACAAAGCUAGAGUUCCAAUAUUUUGUCUCAUUAUGAAAUAUUGUAUGGUGGUGAUAACGAUGAUCGUUUUUUAUUGUCACAUAGAGUGGCGACAAAACUAUAGCUGAUACCAAAGCCAACCCCAUGGCGACUGCUCUUUGUGAUGAUGAGUUUUGGCCUGCGUAGUUGUAUGCAUUAGCAGCCAUUGAAAGAAGUGAAUUAAUUAAAUUAACUCUCUCAAUCCUGCAGGACUACUAUAUAUAAGAAAACCAACUUGGUGAUGUGGAGAAAAUUGAUGGGGAGUUUUAUAGGAGGAAGAAGAGAGAACAAGUGAAGGAAUCUAGUUGUAAAGCUUGUGAUUUGAUGACAAAAGUGAUGGAGUCAUCAUAGACAUAGCCGUCCAAAAAGUGAAAAAAGGAGAUGAGUUAUUUGGAGAAAAAGGCAAGAGAAAGGUGAGAAAGCAUAGGUAAAUGAAGAAAAAGGAUUGGAAUUCUUUGGAAGUAAGGUAUCUUUAAUUUGGUGUGUUCAUACAUGUCUACAAGGCACUGCUAGCUGGAAUCACUUUUGUGAGAUACAUACAUACAUACAUACAUACAUACAUAUACUGCCUCAUUGCGUGGCCUGUGUCUUAUUGUGCUUGGAAGUAUAUGUUUAUAAAUGCAUGUUGGUUUGUUCGCAAAACAAAUGUAUAUUAGUGUAUUAUUAUUAUUAUUAUUAUUAUCCGUAUGAUAUACACAAGAAAGUAAGUGAAAAAUACGCAUUAUAGCUUAUAUCCGUUUAAGUUUUGGUAUGCAUAUUUAUAUAUACAUAUACUUACGCCUAAUACAUGAGAGCUCAUUUAUACAAUUCGUGUACUGUAUUAUCACAAAGAGAGUCUUCCAUGCUCCUUGGAGCACCAUAUAAGUCACUAACAAAAGGAGUUUCAUUUUUCCAUUCUUUCUUCACCAAUGGUUUCUCUCUCAUUCCAACUUAAAUUGUCACCAAAAUCAUGUGCUGGCAGCAAGAAAAAUAAUUUCAUUUUUUUUUUUUGGCAGAGGGAGAAAUGAAACAUUUGGGUUCCCUUAUAAAUUGUUUCUACUACUUGAGUGAGUCUCUCAUAUUAUGUUUAAUAUCUCAUUUAAUACUUAAUCUUUUGUUAAUUAUUUGUCUAACAUUUUUUUCUUUUUUUUAACAAACUUGAUCUCACUCUCUCUAAAAUCAAAUAUACUUUCCGAGAAUAUACAACUAACUAUACCUACCUUAAAAGCUCAUGACCUAAUCUCUUUUUGAGUAAAUUUUAUUAACGUGAUUAAUAGUUAAUAAAUUAAAAAGUAAAAAUAAUUACAUUUUAUUAUAUAUUAACAUUAAAAUACAUGUGUCACAAAAUUUAUAAAAAAUCAGGAGAGUUUAAAUUAGGAGAGAAUCCUAAUUUAAAAAAUAAAAAAAAACAUGUCACGGUUGUAAUAAUGAUUAAUUGACUAUUAAUUGAUCAGCUUAUUUUGCUGACCCCUCUUGACAUUUUAAUGGAUAUUAAAUUGUUAAUUUGUUAUUAUUUUGUUUUUGGCAGUUUCUAAAGACGUACAGGAACCUGCAUAAUGCAUAAGGAUGGCAAUGGGGAGGGGAGGGGAGGGGACCAAUCUCCCCGAUAUUUUGCAUAUGUCCCCGUCCCCUCCCCAUCCCCGUCAAAAUUAUUUAAGAGAAUCCUCAUCCCCUCCCCGAAUAAUAACAGGGGAUCCCUGAGGGUCCCCGAUCCCCGAAUAACUAAUACAUUUUUUUUAUUUUCGAUUUUGAGUUAAUCAUAUUAAAAUAAAAAAUCCAAAUAAAAGUAAAGUUAGAAAUAUAUCUUACAUUAAUAUCCAUUACAAAAGUCACAUACAUUAAAUUAGUAAGUAACGCAGUAUGCAAGGGAUAUAAACUAUCAUGAACAAAUUAAUAGGCUAAUACAAAAUUAUUACAAAUAAAAUCAAAUUUAGAUUCAAAAUUAACUUUUCAAUGGUGGCGUGGGCACUUUAUAAAUGUGGACUAUUCCCUUUACGGCACAAUAGUUAAGUCGAAACAAAUCAAGAGCAAAUAUUAGAUUAGAUUAGAUAUUAAAAUUGUGAUUUGCUGUGGGCAAUUAUAACAUCUAAAAAUAAAUAAAAAAAUAGAUUUAAGUUUAAAAUAUUUAAUGAAUAUUAAAAUUAAAACAAAAGUUUUAGGCUAAUAGAAUUUGUCCGGUCUUUUUAAUGUCCUAAAUAAAAAUUUAGGAUUUUAAUUAGUUAAUUAGGCCUAAAAAUUUAAUAAUAUAAAUAUUUUGAUAUUUUUUAUUUUUACCAAUACUUAUAAUUUUAUAACUCAAAUUUUAUUAUUUAUUUACUAGUAAUUUAAAAAAAAAAUUAAAUAAAAAAUUAAAAUGGGGAAAUGGGUAGGGGAUGGGGAUUCCACCUCAUCCCCGUCCCCGCCCCAAAUAAGAAAUUGGGUAAAAAAAAUUUCAUGUCCCUUCCCCGAAUAAGAAAUUGGGUAUGAAAUUAUUCUCAUACCCUCCUCGAAUGGGAAAAAUCUCCGAGGGUACCCGUCCCUCUGGAGAUUUUUGCCAUCCCUAAUAAUGCAUAUAUAUUUAAUGACAGCUUUUUAUGUAGGUAACAGUCUUAAUCUCUUAAUUAUCUUUAAAGCUCAAUUAUUUGUAAUUUGACAACAAAGUCAUUGUCGAUAGAAUAUUAGAAUCUAAUCUUACAUAUUAAAAAAAAAAAUUAAACAUGAGAUAAAUCUCGUCACUAUAAUUAUAUGAAUUUUGAUUUUUAGUACACUUUGAAUGUAUUAUAAAUAGAUUGUAAUAUAAAUUUAAAAAUGAAAAACAAGACAUUUUUUUUCCUUGGUUAUCAAAUCGAGUGUUACUGCUAUUCAAGAAACUACGAUUACUGUCCAUAUCAAAUCCCAAAUACAAUCAAUCUACAGUUAUUUCAAUUAAUCUCUAUCUGUCUCCUUGUCGGUUUUAACAACAUUAUUCUAUAAUUAUAUAGCAUUUGCAUCAGAUCCAUUGGGUUUCUAUUCAUCAAAAUUCAGGUCAAAAUUACACAAAGCAUCCCUUCAGUAAAUUGAAUCUGAUGAUCAAUUAACGGAAAACAAAAAAAAAAUUCUCCAUGGACUCAAAAAAAAUUUGGCACUUCUUCUCCUACUUUUCCACAAUACAGAUAAUUUUCCGAUACCUUUUUCUCAUCAUUCAGAAUUUAAGUCGAUUUCCGAAGUACCCUUUUAUCCGAAACGCCAUCUCCGAUUUGUUUCAUGCUCCGGUCAUCGUCACAUUCAUGGAUACAAUGCUGUUACUGUAUUUCCAUCUAUGCAAUCUCUCUCCAUGCACCGUUGAUAUAGAUGAUCAAACCACAAUUCAUUUUUUCACCCCAAAUCACAGAAAGUUCAACAAGCCAAAUCUGGUCAUAAUCCAUGGCUACGGCGGAACGUCACGCUGGCAAUUUGUACAUCAGGUCCGUCCAUUAUCGAACAGAUUUAAUCUGUACGUACCCGAUUUAAUAUUUUUCGGAAAGUCAUAUUCUGCUGGGGCUGACAGGACUGAAGUUUUCCAAGCAAAGUGUUUGGUUGAAGGGUUAAAAAGACUGGGAGUGGGCAGGUUCUCGGUUUACGGUAUUAGCUACGGUGGGAUCGUGGCGUAUCAUAUGGCCGAGAUGAAUCCUCUGGAAAUAGACAAGGUUGUGAUUGUGAGCACUGCUAUCGGCUACACCGAGGAACAAAAGGAAAGGCAGCUGACGAGAAUUGGUAGAAGGAUCUCAGGAUUUCUGGUUCCUGAAAGCCCACAAGAUCUACGGUUCCUAGUGAGUUUAUCAAUGUACCGUAAUGAUUUCCUUAAAUGGGUCCCCGACUUUUUCUUCGGUCAGUUCAUCAAUGUGAGUUCAUUUUUUCUGAUGUAACUUAUCUUUUAAUCCCAUUUAACCACAAUCCAUAAUUCACAAAGUGUUUUUUUGAAAGUAUUUUGAGUCCAAUCAAAACCCUUAACCCAUGAUUAAAAAUUUUCAAUUAGGCGAUGUAUAAAACUCACAGGAAGGAGCGGUUGGAGAUGAUAGAGCACUUGCUUACUAAAGAUGCAGAUCCAAACAUUCCCAUUUUAACUCAGGUAAAAGCUUUCUCUUAUGAACUUCGAGCAGAAUAACUUAUUAAAUGUAAUUUCGUAUCACGAAACAACUCAAGACUGGCAUUGUGCUGAAGAGUUCUUACCACUCGACCAAUGACUUAGGUAUGCAUAGACGUACUGUUUAUUGUGUUUGAGCUAAUUAAGUGCUCCUAUACAAAGGACUUUUUGAGUAAAAGCCUCUGUAGUUGCCAUACUUGCUAGCUCGUGUUGCUUCAUGAAGCACGCCCAAUUGCUUUCUAAUCGAUCUACUUAAAAGACCUUUUCACUGUGUAACUAAACAUUACAAUCAAAACACGCAAGUCUUUUUUAUUUAUUUGAUGAUACAAAAUCGCUGGCUGGCUAUUCAUUCCAUCAAAAUCAUUGUUUAUGACCUUAUGCAUAAAUCGACCUCACUAGUUACUAAUUAACAUUUCGCUUGGGGUGAAGGAAACACUGAUAAUUUGGGGAGAUCAAGACAAAGUCUUUCCAUUAGAAUUUGCCCAUCAGCUGCACAGGUGUAUAUAUAACAAUUAAUUUGUUGUCUUCCAUCAUUUCAAUUGUUACCUUAAGAUUUAUUACCAGUUUUGAAUUAUAUAUAUAUCUUGACAAUUUUUUAUGAAUAAUAUUUCAGGCACUUGGGAUCAAAAUCAAAGUUGGUGAUCCUCAAGAACACAGGCCAUGCUGUAAAUAUGGAAUCACCUUGUGAACUCAAUAUUCUGAUAAAAACAUUUGUUUUCGGUCAUUCCUAUCAUAUGCUUGAAGUCUAAUAUUUUGUCAACAUAUAUAGGCUUCAAAUAGAUUGUUGUUCAUUCAAACAUUUAUAUAAUCUAGCAGCAGCAGUAGUAGUAGUAGUAGUGAUAUGAUUUCAACAAAUGAAUUUUUAGAUGGUCUAUCGAUUGGCUAUGAUUUAGGGUUAAUUUGUGAAUAGUAAUUAAGUUUCUAAUAUUGUUCUUAAGAUCGAUUAGUCCUUCUUGUUUGUACACAAACAAACUCAAAAUGAGUCAACUAAUUGCAAAAUCAACAAGGGUUAUACUUAUACAAGAGAGGGAAAAAAAAAAGCGAAAGGAAAUAGUAAGACGCACAUACACGACAAGUCGUAUAAAGUAAAAAUUACAAACGACAAUUACUUCAAAAUAAUACCACGUGGACGGUAUGUCGUGGAAAAGAAAUACAGAUAAACACAUCGAUCGACAAUCCAAAGAGGCAAAACCAAAAUAAACGACAAACAUACUAAAUAUGUCCGUCGGUUAUUAAGAUUAAGAAAAAUUAGUGCUAGUCGCCGACACGUCGUCCCGUAACCCUUGCUGUCGCUGAAUGAAUAUUGAAUAUCCUCUGUGAACUCUCUCUCUCCAUUCAAAGCCUAAAUUCUCGCUUUCUUCUUUUUUCGCGAUAAAAUGUUAAAAACCUUCUUCUCUCACGUUGCAAGCACGAGCACCAGCGCGACUCUCGUCAGGUGCUACUCGCGCGUCCUAAACCAGAUGUGAAGAGUGAAUUACCAAAAAUGUCCUUGCUCGAGCAACACCUAGCUUCGCUCUACCAGCUGGCGGUCUCCUUCGAUGGCGCCGUUUUGGGCGUAGCCCUUGCAUACACCGCCGUGCGUUCGUUCCUAGACUUCCGCUACACAUCCAACGCUCUAGGAAAAGUCCGGAACGCUCUGCAGCUCAAAGUCUCGGAUCUUCGAGAUCUGUUGGACGAGAAGCAAUCGCAGCCGUCCGAUCAAGAGCAGAAUAGCCGUCUCGUCAUUGUGCGGGGCCAAGUGGAAGCGAAAUCAGCCGUCGAUGGAAUAAACUGGAAGAACUUGAUGUACAGUAACGAUAUAUUGGUUUCUGAGAGCGGAGACAAAGCUGUUAUUCUUGAACAAAGAAAAGCUGUAUGUAUUUUUUAAUAUUCAGAAAUUUUAGUUGUUACGCACCUUCGAGAUAAAAUUACUUAUUUUUUUUCUUUUGCUUUAUUGUUAUUGAUUGAUUUAUUUUAUUUUGUUUUGUUUAUCUCUUGUAAGUUUGGUUCCUGUGUCAACUAGGGGUCUAAAUAAUGAAACCUAUAAAUAAGGUUGUUGAGUAGGAGAAGAUGUCAAGAAUGUUUAUGUAAUUUCUGAAGUUUAAUAACAGAGGUUAUCCCCCAUGAAUUUUCUUAUUUCUUCUUUCCUAGUUCUCUACCAUUAGUCAGUCUGUUGAGUUUUUGUGAAAUUAGAGCUGUUAGAAAUUGUAUGAAUUGUAGAAAAGUUGAUUUUUUCCCCCUAAAAUAGAGGGGUUUUCGUGUAUUAUUGCGGCUGAAGAUUGAAUAUUGAGAAUAAAAUAUGAAUUUUGAAAUGCACGCCGGGGGUUUGUUUGGUAUUGAUGUGCUGCUAGUGAAUGGAGUCACUGGCUGUCAAGUGAAAAAUGGGUGCAUGUUUUGUAAACAUUAGUUGUCAAAAUUAAGCAGAAGCCCCGUGAUUGUAAGCUUAUCUUUGAUUUUUAGGAAACCAUGGUGGUAGGGAAGCAAUUGAAUUAGGAAUUUUUUGCUUUUCUUUUGGGUGUUAUUCUUGUAUUUGCAUCUAUUAAUACAUAUAUCAUGUAUAUUAAACAUGCUUUUAUUUGUUUCUGAUGAAGUCCAUAUAUUGAUAACUUUCUUCUGAAGGAAUAAUGUGCAUGUGCUUCAUUGCUUAAAGUUUUUAUUGUUACAAGAUAUCGUGGAAACUUAUUCGGAUGCUUUUUGGGAUGAAUCUCUCUGAGAAAUUUUAUGUAUAGGAGUAGGGGAGCCACUAGGCAGCUGGCUAGCAUUUUCUGGAUCACUUCAAUGUUUUUCCUUUUGGGUCAAAUCUUGAUUAAGUGGAUAUCCUCGUGCUAUAAAUGCACUUUACUUGUAGUUUAUGUAGGAAAGAAUCCAUUUAUUUAUAUUCCACGAUUAAGCAACCCCGUUGGUUGUCAAAGGAGUAAAGUUGAAGUUUUUACUAUAUUUUGCAUGGUUAUUUGUUAAUUUAUAGAUAGCAAUUUGCUGAUUUCGUGGUUUAUAUGCUUGAAGUUUCUAUAUAAUGAAUGGAGGGACCUUUUUGGAUGGACUCCUGAUAUACGUGCCAUCUUUGGAAGAUCUUUGAAAACAAGCGAACCAUCCUCCUUAAGAACGGUAAAAUGAAUAACUCAUCUCAUGUAAUUUUAAAUGGAUACUUUUCUGUUUAAAUUAUUUUUAGCUUGAGAAAUGCAAUAGAAGCAAUCAAGCAAAAUAAUACUUGUUUUCAGUGUUGACAUAAAUAAAUAUGUUCAGUUUUCAUAGGUAUCCAUUUUAAUAUAUAUAUAUUUUUGGUUGAUUUCACAGGUUCCUUUUAUUCUUGUUGAAGGUGAUCGAUGGCCACAGUCUGAUUAUAUUAUUGUGAACAUGGAUGGCUCUAGACAGCCUUUACCUCUUACAACAGCUUAUCAACGGCUGGAACUUGCUAAUGUUUCUCCCUUUACAUUUCUUCAGGCAAUGUUUGGUCUAAAAUGCCCUGUAAGUUUAGAAGUUGAAUAGCCUUAAUGUCUUUCAGGUACUCUUUUUUGUUACAAAUUUAUGAAACCAUGUUUUCUUUGUUUUUGGAAGAUUGGUGUGCUUGCUGAGGAGAAAAUUCUUCCAUUAGGGAAGGAUAUCAGUGCUGUUGGUAUUUGCAAUUUCAAAAAUGGAAUUCCCGAGAUCAAGUCGUGCAAGGAUCUACCCUACUUUCUGUAAGAAGAUUUCUCUAACCGCCUCAGUUUUGUUGUGUAGUUUGAAAUGCAAAAAUUUGUAGCAUUUGAAUAAUUUUAAACCUAAAGACAGAUGAAGACUUUGUUGGGUUUCUGAAAGGCCAUUGGCCAGUCAGGUGACCUGGGGCGUAGACCAACUUUAGGGGAUUAAUUUGUGUUUUGGUCUUUUGCAGAAGCGAGAAGACUAAGGAUCAGAUGGUGGUAGAUCUUGUGAACAGGAGUAAAAUACUCUUUUGGAGUGGUAUUGUGCUUGGUUCACUAUCAAUUGGUAUCCUUGGAUAUGCUAUUGUCAGGUACAUUAGUUUUAACAUAAAAGAGUGUCUUUUCUUUUUCCUAUUAAAAUAAAGAAAUAAACAUAAAAGAUUGUCUUUCACCUUCUCUAUUCCAUCACAUAUUGCAAAUACAUGUGUUAAUUCAAAUUGUACAGAUCCGAAUUUACUCUUAUGAGCUUAUAUUGAUUCUUGCUGAUUUAGUUUUGGGGGGAAAAAAAUGUCUGUAGGAACUGGAACAGAUGGAAAGAUAGGCAACAGAGAAUGUCACGGCAACUAACCGAAACACCUAGUGAUGAUGCUGACUCUCAGAUAGGUUCAGAUGAAGAAGUAGCUGGAGAUAUUCCAGAUGGGCAGUUAUGUGUAGUCUGCUUGACGAGGCGGAGGAUCUCAGCUUUUAAUCCAUGUGGCCAUCUAGUUUGCUGUCGCCGAUGUGCUAUAUCUGUUGAACGUGAAGCAUCACCAAAGUGUCCUGUUUGUCGCAUGACAGUUCGGAGUUCAAUGCGGAUAUAUUUUUCUUGAGCAUUGAAAUUUAGGGGUUGGUGCUUUUUGUUUGUGGUUGGGAAUUUGCAUUCCUCAAAGAUACACUCAUGGAUUAGUCAAUGGGUGAUUUUUGUGAUUGCUAGUAAAUAUUUUUGUACAUUUUGAGAACGAGAAAGCAGUAGCGAAUGUAAAAGAUCGUACGUUUAUAGCUUUAUCCUUUUCAUAGCUGUAGAUACAAGGGGGGAAAAAUUAACAGAAAGUAGUAGUUGACAUUCUAACUGUCUUCUACUUUCACAUUCAACUUCCACAAUGAACAAAAGGAAACAGGCUGCCCUUUCCACCAUAACUCAAUGCACCCAUCUCUCUCUUCAACUCUCGUCUCCCAGCUAUUGUCGUACUUCCUCAACAAAGCUCUGCCUCCAUCGAUGGCAUCCUCGCCAAAAACGUCUCCAACAAACCCAACUCCUCUCAUUCUAUCACACCAUUUGUCUUUCCCUUCGUUCAUCUCUGCCCUAUUCGUCAAAGCCUUUGCUGCCUCUCCUUCCAUUACCCUCCUUUCUUCGCUCUCCCGGCCUUUAAACGCUGCGCUUGUUGAGUCCAAAAAUCUCCAUAAGUACUCCACUCGACGUGCAAAACCUGUUGCAAAGUCUCCACAGUUGCCACAGCUGCAAUCCAUAUUGUUUUCACUGAGUAUCACUCCUUUCGGCUCCAAACUUCUCAACACCCUCAAGAAUUCUGUUCUUUCAUCUGGGGUGCUGUGAUUCAAGUGAUGCAGUCUAAAUUGUGUGCAAACUAUUAAGGUUUCCUCCGGAGAUGUGCUGACCAUUUGCGAACUUAGAUCCUGUAAAGGGUGGCUUUCUAGUCUAUUGAUUUGUAAAUUUAUGUUCAUAGACUUGGCAAAACCAAGAAGUUGCAAGGAAUAAUUGUCACCCGGGGGACCAACUGAAAAGGGGGUCUCUGCGUUUUGAUCAUUUUCAGCCGUUGGAGCAAUGAUUGUCAGGCGAACAAGAGGAGGAGGACCGCCCGAUCUUCGAGUCAAGGCCUCAAGAAGCGUAGGCCAUUGCACUCCGUGAGAGACCCCAAUAUCAAGAAUGUGAAGAUUCUGCACCUGAUUGUGUCGAUCUUGAGCAAGAAUUUGGAGGAUGGACGAGUUUGCAAUGUUGUUGGGAAAGGCAAACCAAGGGCUCUUGUCAUAGAAAUUGAGCAAAGAUUUCUGGAAGAAUCUUGGUUCCGUAGAAGAAAAGGUUAAAGGGCCUGUUGAGGUGGUUGUGGUAGAGGAAGACGAUAAGGAGGAUAGAUGGUGUGUCAAGGCUCGGAGCCCAUGAGCCGCUAGCCGGUGGUUGGCAUCUCCGGUUGGUGAGGCAAGCUCAUGGAGGACAUACAGCAGGUGUUGCACGCGUGUCGGGUUGCCGGCCGUGAUAGCUGCGGCACAAGGAUUAAGCAACUGCUCUGCCCAUCUUCCUUCCUUGCUAUUACCGUUAUUGCCGUUAUUUCCUGUAGACUUGUUUGUGUUUUUCUUGUUACCAACCGACCUUUUAACAAUGACCCCUUCUUCAUUGCCUUCUUCAGUUUCAGUAAUCCGACGUCCCUGAUUCUUCCUCUGGUGAUGACUUUGAGAUGAUCUUGUAGGAGGGUCAUCGGUGUUUCUCCGUUUUUUUGAUGAAUCAGCCGGUGCUGGCGGACCAGGAACAACAGAAUCAGUAGGGCGUACACUAAUGGUACUGACAUUAGCGGUGGCUUCUGUGUUGUUGACAGUAGCAGCAGCACUACUAGCGCCAGUGUUGCCAAUGAGCUGUUCUGGGGCCAUAUCUUGACCUUGAUUCCACCAUUGAUAGUCAUCGAUCCCAUUAGCGUUGUACGGGUCAUCCAAGAACGAUGGAAGGAACGAUACCGACUCUUCCAACCAAUCUAAUAUGUGAUCUGCGGUGGGGUUUGGUUCUGGUUCUUCAAUAAUGGUCAUUGUUCUUGAGGAGAAGGAGCUAGCUAGGACAGGAGAGAGCCGAUAAAUUAUUGGUAUCAAGGUGUUUGAUAGUUCUGACCAAAAGAGUGUGAUGAUGAUGAUGCAUAUAGAUCACGGAGUUUUGUCUGUUGACCAGAGGGUGUUGAAAUAAUAAUGUCAAGAGGGCAUUGGUGCAACGUUAAUUUUGAGCAAAUGGGCCAAGGCAGGGAAUAUUGUAAGAAUUUGUGUGCUGUUUAUUUGGAGGAUCUGAUGUAAUUAUUGAGAAUGAAGUUCUGUCUUUUGCUCCGUAUGGUUAUUAACUUAUUAUCUUGUUCAAGUUUGUAUGUCAUGGUGGUUGAGUUCAACUUUCUUUGAAAAUGAGAGGAUUGUGAUGUUUUAUGAAUGGGUUGAAUUUUGAAUUGUCAAGAGACGGCAAACUCUUCAUUUCUCUAUACUAAUAAACUAUUUGAAGUCCCUGUUCGUUUCUGCCUUGUGCCUUUGGGACCAAAGGGACCUCAAUGUCACCAAAUUUUAGUACUAUAUCAUGACUUUUGGAUUAGUAAUACUAUAUUAUUAGUACUAUGAUUUGGAAUAAACUCUUGGUUAAUGAAUGAGUUCAUUCAUUUAGUUUUCUAUUUUAAAAAUAAAUAGAAAGAACUUGCAGGUUUCUGAUACACAAAUUUAUCAAUAUGAAUCCUAAAACUAGGGAUGGUAAACAGCGGGCCUGGGCCGGGCUUUUUCAAGCCCAUGUCCAGGCCCUCUGUUAGUUAAGUGUAUGGGCCGGGCCCAUUGCGGGCCUGGGUUGGGCCGGGCUUUAGUUAUUUAUUUAAAAAAUUUUAAAUUAUUGUAAAUUUGAAAUAAAUUAAUUAUCAACAAGUUAUUACAAUCAUAGAUAAAUUAAAGAAAAUCAAUAUUUCAAAUUAAAAUAAUAAAUAAAGUAAAUAAAAACUCAUAACUUUAAUUUUCUUUAAUACUGGAUUUUCUAAUUCAAACGCUCUCUUAAUUAAUUGACACAAAAGAGAGAAUUUAGUAUCAUAAUUUUAGUUUUUUUUAAUCAUAAUUGAUUUAUAAGUUAAUAAUUUAAGUUUUCUUUUUUAUUUUUAAAGUACUUUUCAAUUUUAAUUAUAUUAUUCUAAUUUAUAAAAUUAUUUUUUUAAAAAGUAGUGGGCUUGGGCUUUGUCCGGGCUUUUUUUCUUGGGCCAUUGUCCAGGCCCUUAUGGGUGAGGGCCGGGCCUAGACUGGGCCCGGGCAGGCUUGGGCUGGCCCGGGCUUUUUUGCCAACCCUACCUAAAACCAUGUGGUAGAGGUAUUAAUUGAUCAUGUUUUAUUAUUUAAUACAAUAAUAAUAAAAACCAUAACCACAUUAUAAAUAGGGUGAAAAUCCAAUAAUCCUCGUAAAUAAAAAAUAAUUUAAAAAAAUGGUAUGUGCACUGUGAAUGAUGGAUCUACUUAUCUAAAACAAAAACAAAAAAAAAUUGUAAUUUUUUUUAAUUUUCGAAUUGAUUUAUAAUGUUCAGAAAAAUUCUUAGUGCCGAUUUGGUAUAGCUUAUUUAAUGGUCAUAAGUGUUUAUUUAAUCUCAUAAACUCUUAUCAUAAUUUUUUUUGUUAUUGUUUGAUUGUUUUUGUAACAGAGCUGUUGAACCUUAAAUAAGUUAUUUUGCCUCUAUUAAUAAAAACUUAAAUUUUCGGCUUUUGGGAGUGAGGUUGAAAUUUUUUUUCAAAUGUUAAAAUAUUUAAAAUAUCCUCUACUUAUUUGACAAUUUUACUUUAUUCUUUUCAUAACAUAGUUUUAAAAAAACUUACCAAUAAAAAACCAAGCCACAUACUUGACAACUCUUGUUGUCCUAUUUUAUUGUUGUUCAUAUUUAAAAAAAAAAAAAUGGUCAGCGUUGAGAAAGAUUUAUGUUUUGCAAUAAAAUAUUAUAGUCUAUACCAGCUUUACAAUGUUUCAAUUUAUAGAAAUAAGUAAAGAGUAUUGCUACCUUAUUAAAAAUUGGUUCACAAAAUUUUUUGAUUCAAUUUUGAGAAAAGACCCAAUUGUGUUUUAUUUAUUUAUUUAUUUUUUUCAAUUUACACACUCUAAUAAUCAACCGCACACAAACACAAAUUAAAUAAUGUGGUGUAAUAAUGAAGAGUAAUAAAAGGAACUUUUCUUUUAAGUUUUUUAUGCUAGUGUGAAAAGCGAAAAAUACAUGCGAUAUUAACUGAUUAAUUCCUAAUAAAAGAAGGGAUGAUCUAGUCUUUUUAUAUAAUUUGUCGAGGUAACUUUCCAAAAGUUAAGAGAAACAAUUAUGCCAUGAUUUCUGGGAAUAAAUUCUAACUGCCCCACAACUCUUUAGAUAAAAAGAAUUUCAUCAACUUUGAUUGUUACAGAAGAAAUGAAGUGACGCAAAAGUGAAGCAAUAAAUGUAUUAUUCAACAAGCUUAAUAAGCUGUGUCUUAGCUUAGCCUAAGAUCAAAUCAAACUUACAGUGUAUGUGUAUAUAUAUAUAUAUAUAUUUACACCACCACUAACUAGAGCAUAUGUCCAACGACAAAAUCGAAAGAUCCAUGAUCACUAACUAGAGCAUAUAUCCAACGACAAAAUCGAAAAUUCCAAUCAUCGAUCUUCACCAUGUAUAUUGAAUUACUUGGGAGGAGAAUUUGCGUGCAUAAUCUAAUGAUGUUCAAAAUUCAAGCAAUAUAUGUGGUUAAGCACUUGCAGUACUAGACAGUUUGUUGUGUUAUAUUCUCACGAUAAAAUAUCGAGCAAAUGCCUCAUUUAUUUUUUUUUUCCUUUAAAUUUUUCAUGUUAAGGAAGAUAUUACCUAUUAUGUAAAUAAUAGGAGGUAAACCGUAUAUAUUGGUUUCAAUAGGAAAAAAAUUGACAAUCUACCUUCUAAAUACAAUAUAUUAUAAUUUAAUUUUUUUCAACCAUUGGGAAUUUCAAAGAUCCAAUCUUUUCACAUGCGAUCCUCGAUGAGAUGAUUCAAUUAGGCCCCUUUUUUUAUACUGAAUGAAUGGACGAAAGUUAUCACAUUAGGGAACCCACUCAACUAGGUGUUUGGCCUAAAUUGCAUUCCACUGUAGUUUAUAUAGUACAGUAUGACAUACAAAAUAUAAUGCACCAAAAUUAAGUGUUUUGACACAAAAUAAAAUAAUCGCUACUCACAACAGUUAAUAUAAAUUAAAAACCAGAGCACCUUAUAAUAUAGUCAAGUCUUAUUUAAAUGCCAGAUACCUGAAGCAUAGGGGAUACGAAGGUCUUUCUUUAAUCAAGUCAUAUUUUAAGUCUUUAACUUUUUUUUUUUCAAAAAUCUAAAGGCUAAACCAUUAUAUUCUUACCAACGAUGUCCUUGUUUUAAGAUGUCGUAAAUUUUAAUGGGUUAUAUAUCCUCUUUUGAUGUGUUGGAGCUUCUUCUUUUCGUUUUUUAAUCAUGUUCAAAAUUGAAAAAAGUGAGAAUUUCCACAUGAGAGACUAAUUUUUUAUUCAAUAAAUAAGUUAUAUUGGAGAAUGUCUUUGUUAUGAGAACGUCUUUUUUUUUUUGUUUUAUCCACGAGAUAUCUUGGGGAGAGCCCCAACUGUGGGAGGCACCUUUAAGCCUGUACCACAACCCAGACUAGAAGUCCCCGCUCGAAUCGAGAGGCACAGGUUCUCCCAACAAAGGCGACUUCCCUGCGACUCGAACUGAGGAGCAAACCCAGUCAAGCCACUUAAGAAGACUCCAUUGCCAGUUGAGCCAACACUUUGUUGGUAUGAGAACGUCUUUAAUGCUCUAAAUCAUUGUUUUUUUUUUUUUUUCCAUUCACUAUUUGACAUGUGUGUAAUCUUUGAACUCGUUAUGAUUAUAUACAUUGAUCGACCAAUGGGUAACCACAUCGGGCUACAGUACAACCGAACUAAAAUUUCCUCUAAAUUUAAUUGCUGAUUUAGCAUAUGUAUUAAUUUUAAUGUUAAUUGUAUUCAUUUAAGCCCCUAGUAAUUUAUUUCAUAAAGGCACACAUUAAACUUUAUCCUAUUAAAAGUUUAAAAACAAUUCUUUAAAUAAUUAAAAGAGUUGACGGCUUGGCAUUUAAUCAAAUUAUUAUUAUUUUGCUCUUUUAUGUCCCUAUUUUAAUUUUAAAAAUAUUGACUCAUUAACUUAUCUUCCAAUUCCACGUCCUACGUCUAGAAUCCCUAAAGCGAACAAGAAUUCAAAGAUGUUUCACUUUUCCAAAUCUUUAAUGCUAAAGACUACAAAAUACAAAACAUCUUCCAAUUAAGUUCCAACGUGCUUAAAUCUUAAUCUUUUAUUCAUAAUUAUCAUUAAAGAUGAUAUUUUUAUUAAGUUAUAUCAAGCAAUAAUUUAUUUAGUAAUUUUUUUGUUUAUACAAUACAAAUUAAAAAGUAUCAUUAUUCAUCAUUAUCAAUUUGUUUUGUCUAAUAGGUUGGUUAUAUACAUAGAGAAAGACAAUUUUAAUAGUAUUGACAAUUAAGUUAUCUUACAACUUUUCAUGACAAGUGUAAUAAUAUAUUAAAUUAACUUCAAGUUUGUAUUUUUGUUUCUAUUAAAGUUGUAAAAAACUGAAAUUAAGGGUAUUAUUAUAACUAAUGUAAUUAUUUUUACUAAGUUUAAUAACAAUGUAUUAUUAGAUCCAUUCACUAUUUGACAUGUGUGUAAUCUUUGAACUCGUUAUGAUUAUAUACAUUGAUCGACCAAUGGGUAACCACAUCGGGCUACAGUACAACCGAACUAAAAUUUCCUCUAAAUUUAAUUGCUGAUUUAGCAUAUGUAUUAAUUUUAAUGUUAAUUGUAUUCAUUUAAGCCCCUAGUAAUUUAUUUCAUAAAGGCACACAUUAAACUUUAUCCUAUUAAAAGUUUAAAAACAAUUCUUUAAAUAAUUAAAAGAGUUGACGGCUUGGCAUUUAAUCAAAUUAUUAUUAUUUUGCUCUUUUAUGUCCCUAUUUUAAUUUUAAAAAUAUUGACUCAUUAACUUAUCUUCCAAUUCCACGUCCUACGUCUAGAAUCCCUAAAGCGAACAAGAAUUCAAAGAUGUUUCACUUUUCCAAAUCUUUAAUGCUAAAGACUACAAAAUACAAAACAUCUUCCAAUUAAGUUCCAACGUGCUUAAAUCUUAAUCUUUUAUUCAUAAUUAUCAUUAAAGAUGAUAUUUUUAUUAAGUUAUAUCAAGCAAUAAUUUAUUUAGUAAUUUUUUUGUUUAUACAAUACAAAUUAAAAAGUAUCAUUAUUCAUCAUUAUCAAUUUGUUUUGUCUAAUAGGUUGGUUAUAUACAUAGAGAAAGACAAUUUUAAUAGUAUUGACAAUUAAGUUAUCUUACAACUUUUCAUGACAAGUGUAAUAAUAUAUUAAAUUAACUUCAAGUUUGUAUUUUUGUUUCUAUUAAAGUUGUAAAAAACUGAAAUUAAGGGUAUUAUUAUAACUAAUGUAAUUAUUUUUACUAAGUUUAAUAACAAUGUAUUAUUAGAUAAUGACAUUGUUAUUAAGAAUAAUCCCCUCCAAAUAAAUUGUCUGGACCUGCUACUGAUGAUAUAUAUAUAUUCAUAUGCCAAAUAGUGAAUGGAUAAAAAUAAUUGUUCUAGGAGCACCAAAUUUUUUUUCAUAAUGAGUCUUAUUACCCAAAACUAAAAAAUGACUUGCUAACACUUCAUCUGUGCACGAUUCAAAAAAAAAAAAAAAAAAAAAAAACAAACANNNNNUUUUAAAAAAAAAAAAAAAAAAAAAAAAAGCAAGCAACGUUUGACAAUUCUUAUUUUCCUAUAUUAUUAUUAUUAUUUAUAAUUGAAAAAAGUAAGCGUAGAGAAGAUAUAUGUUUUGCACUAAAAUAUUAGAGUAAUAUUAUGCUUGAUAAGUGCCUAUUUUAUUUAUAUUUUACUAUUAAUUUUUCAUAUUUUUCUUGUUUGGUCUUAAAUAUUCUAAUUAUUCUAAUUAAUUUUUAAUUUAGUUAUUUUAUUAAAUUAAUUUUUAUCUUAAUUUUGAUAUUUUAUUAUUUUAAAUAUAUUCUGAGAUUAAAUAUAUAAAAAAAUCAGAAUAUUUAAGAAGAAAUCUGCUUAAACUAAUCAAGAUGAGAAAGAAUUGAAGUUUGCUGGAUUUAUGCUUGAUGGGCCGAUUAUUGAAUUAAUUGCUUUAAAUUGGAAUUAGAAUCCAAAUUUUAUUCGGCCAAGCAUUAUAAAAAGCCAACCUUUUGGCUUUUGAAUGUGGCAGCCAAAAAGGGGGAAUCCAAAAGGCAUUAAAUUGGAAGAGCAGCCGCUUGGAUUAAUUUCUAUGACUGGUUUUAUCAACUCUUUUAUUCUCAAUUCAAUUAUGUUAUGAUAGAUUUUUUAUUUGGUUGAGGGUGAAUUCAAAACCAUAAACAUGUCAUAUGAUUAAGAUUCAAUUUCUAUCAUUUAAUUUAUUUGAUUGAAAUUAUUUAUGUUCUUCUAUAAUUAAUGUUUAUGAUUUUAUUAUUGUCUUGUUUGAAUGACCAAUUAGAUAAGACUUGAAUACAUUCUAUUAGUAGAUUAAAAUUCUUGAUUCGUAAUUGUCUUGAUAUUUUAAUCAUUAGUAGCAAAUUGAAAUGAUUUCAAUUGAAAAACAUAACUUAGGUUAAAUAAUCCGACCUUGUGUGUUUAUUGCCUAAAUCAAUUUAAUAUAUUUCUCUACUUAAUGCUCCCAUUAUCUUAAAUUUAAAGAGUUUAUUUUAAAUUAUUUAAUGGUUAGAGAUUAGGUGAAGAACUUAUUUUAAAUCUUUAUUUAUACGAGUUGAUAAUAAAUAAAACUAAUAUUUAUUCCUAAUUUAGUGUGGGGCCCAUCAAAAUGAAUCACAUUCCAUCUCUUAUUUCACCAAGUAAAUGCGAGUUUCAUUUCGAUUAUGGAUUGUCAUUCCCGAAUCCACAAUAAUGAAAUUUAAUAACACGAAUUUAUCUUUCACCUUUUUCAAGCAAGUGUGAAAGGCCAAAAAUACUUAUGAUGUUAGUUAACUAUUCAAUUUGUAUUUUACACCAUAUAUCAAAGUAGCAUUACUUGAGACUUAACAUACCAAAAAGCAAAAGAAGUAAUCAUGCCAUGAUCUUGGGAAUAAAUUCCAAUCGUCUCACAACUCUUUAGAUAUAGAGAACUCAUGAAAUUGUUGCAGAAGAAAUGAAAUCAUGCAAAAUUGAAGUUAUAAAUGUUUUACUCAACAAGCUUAAUAAGUUCUGUCUUUAGCUUAGCCCAAGAUCAAAUCAAUCUUAAAGUGAAGCGAUAUAUACAUGCCUAACUAGAUAAUUGUAAAUUGAAUAGCAAGAUUGAAAAUUCCAAUCCUUUAUGAUUUUAUUCUCGAAUUUUCAUUCGAUAUACAGCCCUUCAUUGUAUAUAUUUAUAUAUUUUGGAGGAGAAUUGCAGUAUUACACUGUUUGUUGUGCUCUAGAUCUAGCCAAUCUUGUGGCUUGAAAAAUACAAAGAAUAAGAAAAAAAUUCCAAAUCCAACGUGUACUUAAUGCACGCUGGGCCCCGGAAGGGUAGUGCUUUCCAACAACUCAACAUAAUGAUAAUUACAAUUCUUUCAACACUGUGUUGUGUGUACAUAUUUUGGCUUAGGCCUUUCGAGCAUCCUGCCUAUAAAUAUAUACAUAUACAUAUCUCAUACCUGUAGUUAAUUCAUUCCCUAGAGGACUAGUUAAAUAAUCAAAUAAAAAUAAUGGGCCAGGACGAAAACACAAAAGCGCAAGUGCAGAGCAAUGAGGGUAAUAACAAAACUCCGAAAGCAAAAGGUAAGUUAAUUAAGGUGUCUUUUUUUCUUUUUUUCUUUUUUUUUUGUUGAUUGAAUUGUUAAUUGCUGUACGUUCGUUAAUUGGUGGACAGAUGAGAAGAUAAUAAAGGAUAUUGAUUCCUACAAGCAAGUUACGAGGUAUAUAUUGGAGAAUGAUUGGAAAGGUUUAGAAGAUUACAUAAUGAGCAAGACUCCAAAUGCCUUGACCUGCAUUAUUGUCGAUCAGAGUUCCAUUUUUGAAUUUAUUGUUGGUAUACCAGAUGUGCCCGCGACGCUUGUAGACAAGCUUCUAUCAAAAGUCCCACGAAAUUGCUUACAAAACUUUGCGAGAGAUGAAGGCUCUGAAUAUAUGGAGUAUGCUGUUUCUACUGGGAAGUUAAACUUGAUCACAACCCUUAUGGGUUACAACGAAGAAUUGCCAAACAUAAAGGUCGAGAAGAAAGAUGAUCCAAACAUAAAGGACGAGGAGAAAGAUGAUCUUCUUCCUGUUCAUAUGGCAGCAAAAGCAGGCAAGAGGGACGCUGUUCGUCAUCUACUCCCAAAGACUAGAGAACCCUUGGAUGGCCGUCAAGGCUUUGUCCUGCUUAAAUUUCUGAUUGAUUCUAAUCUCUUUGGUAAGUACUACAGUGGAGAAUCCUCUAUAGUAAUUUUAUAAUAAGGGAAUCCAUAUUUUAUUAAAGUAAAAUAUAAAUUAAAAGAAUGAGGAUGUCUACGUUAAAAAAAAAUUAUUUUUUAAUAUUUUGUAAUAAUGUAGAAUUAGUUUAUAAUAUUAUAAUUUUAUAAACUUGUCCUGAAUUUUAAUAAAUUACAAAAUUCUCUUAUUUAAAAAUUAUAUAUAUGUGUGUGUGUGUGUGAGGAAAUGACUUUACAAUAUUGUAAAAUCAUUCGUUUAUAAAAUUACAAAAAUCUUUCCUAUACUUUAAUUAAAUACGAAAUUUUCAUAUUAGAAAAUUUUCGUGUAUAUAUAAAUUUGUGCCAACAUCUGACUUUUAUAACUCUAGAAGCACCGAGUCCGCAUAGAAUUUUGUGCAGACAUAUAUUUAUGUAUAUUUUAAGCAAUUUAAUUCAUUAUAUAUUUUUUUCCUUUUUUUUUUAAAUUUUACAGAUAUGGCUCUUGCUUUAUUGAAGUGCCAUCCAAUGAUAGCCCGCGCAGAUAUUGGUGAGACUGGAAAAAUUUUGGAGUCAUUGAGUAAAAGGCCUAAGGCGUUCGCAAGCGGGAGCCGACUUGGAUCUUGGAAACGCUUACUGUAUCAAUGUAGGCCUUGUUCACAACCUUUUCUAAUUAAAGUUGCACUACUUGUUUAUUUGGUUCAAUUAUUUACACCUAAGUAGACAUAUUAAAAAUUAAAAAAGAAUAAUGAUAAACCACAGACUCUUCCUACAAACUACUUAGUAUAAUAAGAUCGGUCGAAUAAAAAUAAAAAAUUAACUUGUAGAUCAUUAGACAUAUCUCUUCAUAUAUUUGUGGGAGUAGAUUCUAAAUCAUAAUAUAUCUUUAAAUUAUAAUAAUUUAUAUAAAAUACAUUACUACGCUACGUCAGUUAAUUAAAAUAAUUUAAAUAAAGAGUUUGUAGCUUGAUUAGAAACUCUAUUACUACUUUAGACUGAAAUAUUCCAAGUCCUAUAGUUUAAACAUGUGAACUGAUAUUAAAAUUAAAAAAAUGUAAUGAUGUUUUUUGGAUAAUUUCACUAGUAAAAUCGUUUAGGCUCGAAGCUUACAAUAAUAUAGUUUAAUUUAAAAUAAAUCUAGCCUAUCUAAGUUUCAACUAACCUUCCUUUCCCUUUACUUUUUUGUAUUUGCAGGGAUUCCUAUACAAGAGGAGUAUAAUCCUCAUCCUCACCCUCAUUCUGAGAAUGUGGGUGGAGACCUAGAGAAGCAGCUCAGUGUAACAUCAAAGAUUCAGUUGAAAAAAUUCUUUCUUCAAAAAAUCCCUUCUGCAUUUGGUUUGUAUAUCUCAUACUUCUAUCUAAAUCUUUAUGAGCAUUUCAUGACAAACCAAAUUUUAUUUUUAUUCACUCCAUCUUACCAUCCACUUAAUCAGUAACACAUCAUUUGUAGAAAAAAAUUAGAAUAAAAUCACUCGGGAGAAAAAAAGCAGAAUAACCUUUGAGAUGUCUGGUUUUCAUUAAAUCUUUGUAUGUGUAUGCUGAACAAAAAAAUUAUUAUCCUGAGGUAUAUCAUAUAUGCUGAUCAAUAAAUUUUUCACGCAGCUAAUAACUUAUAGUUUAUUUUUACAGGUUCUUUGCGUCAAAAAUUAAAGCUUGUGCUCUGGAACAACCUCAUGGAGCUAGGUAAUUAAGUAUUGAAGACAUUCUCUUAAAUAAAUUGAGAAUUUUUUUCUGAAAAUUAAUAUUGUUUAAUUACUAAUAAUUUAAUUAGAGUUGAAUACAUGAAUACCAGCCCCGAGCAUAAAAUCGAUACGUGAUGCAAAGAUAAUACAUGAGCAAACGCUUGAAAUAUUAAGGAUCAUGUGUGCGGGAGCGGUAGAUAUCUUGAAUACACAUGAAGAAGCACAAAAUGUAUUUAAGAAGCCAAUGUUUAAGGCUGCAAGAUUGGGGAUUUACGAGAUUGUCAUGGGAAUUAUGAACUCUUAUUUCCCUUGGUCGUUAGAGUUCAAGAAUAAAGAUGGAUAUGACAUAUUCAAGGUUGCAGUUGAACAUCGCCGAGAAAAAGUUUUUAACAUCAUAUUUAAUUUUCCAAACAUUUACCCAUUUUUUUUGGCUAACAUCGAUGAAAAAGGCAUCAACAUCUUGCACAUAGCUGCAAGGUCGGUACCUUCAACUGAAGUCCCUGGUGCAGCAUUGCAGAUGCAGAGGGAGUUGCAGUGGUUCAAGGUAUAUAAUUAGUUAAUACACUAUUCUAGUAUAUACCAUUUUAUAUAAUUAAUCAUGCAAUUAUAUGUUAACUUAAAAUUAUAUAUGCUAACUCAGGCUGUGGAAAAUUUUGUUCACCCAACCUUACAAGAUCAAUUAAAUGGUGAAGAUAAAACACCAAGAGAGGUGUUCACUGAAGAACACGAGAAGUUAGUCGAAGAAGGUGAAAAAUGGAUGAAGGACACAGCUGGAUCGUGCUCAGUUGUAGCUACACUCAUAAUGACAAUAGUCUUUGCUGCAGCGAUCACCGUACCAGGCGGCAGCGACAGUAGAGGAAUGCCCAAUUUCUUGGAAGAACCAUCUUUCACAAUUUUUGGAAUUUCAAACGCCCUUGCACUCUUUUCAUCCGUUAUUUCGGUGUUGAUGUUCUUGGGCAUCCUCACUUCACGUUUCUCAGAAGAAGAUUUUCUCGUGUCCCUCCCCAGGAAAUUAAUCAUUGGCCUCAUCACCUUGUUCUUUUCAAUUGCAUGCUUGAUGGUUGCAUUUGCUGCCACAGUCCACAUAACUCAGUUUCAUCCAUGGAAAUGGGUCAUUAUCCCAACGGCUCUGCUUGGUUUUUUACCUGUCUUCUUAUUUGCAACCCUACAGUUUCCACUCUUAAUUGAAGUGUUUUUGUCCACUUACGGGCCUGGUAUUUUUCAUCCAAUGAAGUUUCUAAGAAUGUAACUUUCAGAUCGAGACAAUUGGUGGUGUUGUUAUAAUUGUUUUAAUGUUAAUAAAAGCCUCGCUACCUAGUACGAGGUCUCGUCUAAUAAGAAAUUCAAAUAAAGCUCUAAUAACACCUUUUUUUUUUAAUUUACCUACCGAAUAAUAAAUGAAACGGGCAUCGUUGUCCCAAAAACUAAAAUGUGAACUGGGGUGGAGUCAUUGCAUAUUGUAAAUCGACCAAAACUUAAGGGCCUAAUACUUUGUCUGUAGUAACAAAUUUGUCAUUAAAUUUGUAAAUUGUGUCCUCACUUAAGAAGUACUGUCUGCAACAUUUAUCACCGAUAAUGAGAAAUUCGUUUUUAAGAAUAAAAUAAAAAAACUUGUCAAUAUGCUGCAAGCAACCAUGUAACACUAUGACACCGUACGUGAACCAAUCUCGGGCAAUUCGCCAAAAUCAAUCCCAUCAAUCAACCCCAUAAUCAUGCAAGGACAUCUGAUAUCUCCAACUAUUAUUUUUCAUUAUGUCAUAACUUCCACAGGUCAAACUAUUAUGUAUAAUUUCCUUUUCAAGUCUCAUUUUCCUAGAUAGAGCAAAAGCGUUAUAUAAAAUAAUUUUCAAGUCUCUAUAGAAAUAAAAUCCUUUCAAUUUCUUCACAUUCUAUGAAAUUUCAUAGAUGUAAUUGAUCCCAUCUCAUCAAAUUGAUAUUUGAGAAACAAAAACUUGUCUUUUGUGCACACCGUAAGAGUAUGUGGGGGCGAAGGCAACAGAGUGGCUUAGUGCUACAUUGCAUGCAAAGUGGUCUUAACCGUACACAAGGGAUAAGAUUUUCAUCAUCCACGCAUUCUAGCUGGCUUGCUUAUCUCUUGCUGCAUUGGUUUGUCUCUUUUCUAGUUUCUACCAUACCAUCAAUGCUAGCUACCAAUGAUGUAUGUCUUCCUGAUUCUAAGAUUCAAUACUAGCAUCAGUAUUUGGGGAACAGUAAAUAAAUAACUAAGCUAAUGAAAUGCUCAGUACUCGAUUUAUUCUUCAAGUUUAUUUCUUGAGCAAUAUAUAAACCUAUUUAUGCUUAAGGUUUAUAAUUGUGUUCGAUUUUUUUGUUGGGUUGGGCUUGGUUGUUUGAUGAUAAUGGACGUGGUUGUUUGAUGGGUUUGGGUAGGUUUAUGUAUAGAGCUUGUGCAUAACUGGGGUUUGCUGCAAUUUCCAGAUACGAACAUGCAGGAUUUUAACGAGUGAAAAGAAAAAACACAAAAAUUUGAAGGUGUGAAGCAUCUUGGCCUUUGGGGAGCACAAUCAGACAAAUAAAAAACAGGAAUCUCCUUUUUCGUGUCAUUAAUUUACUACAUAUAAUACGACUUUAAUAAAUUAUAUUGACUGGCAAAAGUUAAUAUUUUCUUUUAAUACCCUUAAACAUCAAACAGCGACAAGCAUGACAAAGAAGGAUGAUAUGAUUUACAUGGCAUUUGUUCUUUGAAAAUUGCACGGCCCAAGGAUAAAAAUAAUGGUUUGAUUCAAGCUUUACAAUAUUUCAUUUUGCAAAAAUAUAUACAGAUAAAUAAAGAGUAGUGCUACUUUAUUUAAAAUUGGUUCGGAAAAUUUUGAUUUAAUUAUAAGAAAAGAUCGAAUUAUCAUUUUUUUUUCCAAGUCAUCCACCGUACCCCACACAAAACACAAAUUAAAUAAGUUUCCCCUUCGUGAUUGGUAUGAGGCAAUGAGGGAAAAUUGAUCCCUUGAUCUCAACUAGACUAUACUAGUUUUCAAACCCGAACUAUCUCUUAGUGUAUUUACAAUAAUGAAGGGUAAUAAAACGAAUUUAUCUUUCACGUUUUUCAUGCAAGUGUGAAAAGCCAAAAAUACAUAUGAUGUUAGUUAACUAUUCAAUUUGUAUUUUACACACUUUAUCAUAGUAGGCAUUAUUUGAGAAUUAACAUAUACCAAAAAGGAAAAGAAAUAAUUAUGCCAUGAUUUUGGGAAUAACUUUAAUUAUGCCAUGAUUUUGGGAAUAACUUCCAAUCGUCCUACAACUCUUUAGAUAAAGAGAAAUCAUCAACUUUGAUUCUUGCGGAAGAAAUGAAAUGAUGCAAAAAUGCUGUUAUAAAUGUUUUACUCAACAAGCUUAAUAAGUUCUGUCUUAGCUAGCCUAUCUAAUAGUGAAGCGAUAUGUACAUGCCUAACUAGAUAAUUAUAAAUUAAAUUACAAGAUUGAAAAUUCCAAUCCUUUAUGAUUUUAUUCUCGAAUUUUCAUUCAAUAUAUAGACCUUCAUUGUAUAAAUUUAUUUCUUCGGGAGGAGAAUUUUCGUGUAUAAUAACGAUCUUUAAAAUUAAAGUAAUUAAUAUGUGACUAAACACUCGCAGUAUUACACUGUUUGUUGUGUUCUAGAUGUAGUCAAUCUUGUGGCUUGAAAAAUACAAAGAGUAAGAAGAGAAAGCAAAUUAAGAAACCCAACAUAUAGAUCGACAAGAUCACAAGAACAAACUGGAACACAUGAUAAUUAAUUAAAGUGAUUUCAUAAGUAAGAUAAAGUGAUAAGAAAUUUAAAAUUUCCUUUUGAUCACUUAAAGAACAAUAUAAGGCCGCGGCUGCCUUGCAGAAAACUCUAAGUAACAGCCAAAUAAUGUCAUUCGCCUAUCACUCAAUAUAAAAUUCCAAAUACAACAUGUACUUCAUGCACACAGGGGGAAGGAUAUUGCUUUCCAACAACUCAACAUAAUGAUAAUUACAAUUCUUUCUAGACUGUGUGUAUGCGUGUGUGGAUAUAUAUAUUGGCUUAUCCCUUUUGAGCAUCCUGCUUAUAAAUAUGUAUCUCUCAUAUCUGUAGUUGAUUCUUCCCUGGAGGACCAGUUAUAUAAUCAAAUAAAAAUAAUGUGUAGCGACGAAAUCACAACAGCGCAAGAGGAGAGCGAUGAUGGUAAUAACAAAACUCCGAAUACAAAAGGUAAGUUAAUUAAGAUAUCUUCUUCUUCUUUUUUUUGGUUUAAUGAAUUGUUAAUUGCUGUACGUUCGAUAAUUGAUGGACAGAUGAGAAGAUAAUAAAGGAUAUUGCUAACUACAAGCAAGUUACGAGGUAUAUAUUGGAGGAUGAUUGGAAAGGUUUAGAAGAUUACAUAAUGAGCAAGACUCCAAAUGCCUUGGCCUGCAUUACUGUCGAUCAGAGUUCCAUUUUUGAAUUUAUUGUUGGUAUACCAGAUGUGCCCGUGACGCUUGUAGACAAGCUUCUAUCAAAAGUCCCACAAAACUUGAUACAAAAGUGGAUGAGUGAGGACGUCAUUGAAUUUAUGAUGUAUGCUGCUUCUACUGGGAAGUUAGAAUUGAUCAGCACCUUGAUCCGUUACGAAGCAGAUUUGCCAAACGUAAGGGACGAGGAAAAUUUACUUCCUAUUCAUAGAGCAGCGAAACAGGGCCAAAGGAACGUUGUUUGUUAUCUACUCGAAAAGACUAGAGCACCCUUGGACGGCAGUGACGGUAUUUUCCUGCUUGAAGAUCUGAUUAAUUCUAAUCUUUUUCGUAAGUACUACAAUGCAGAACCAUAUAUAGUCAUUUUAAAACAAGGGAGUCCUUAUUUUAUUAGAGUAAAAGAUAAGGUAAAAGUAAAAAAUAUAAGUUCUAAUCCAGUAUUAGUGUAUUGAUUGUUUUUUUUUUUUUUUUUCCUGUAGCAUAAUAUGACUUUAAUAUGGUAAGCAAUUUCUAAUUGAAAGUGUAUGUAUGUACGUAUGCAAUCAUUCACUAAAAUAUAUAAAUUUCAACACACUAUUUUUUAUAUGUUAGUAUAUUGAAAUCUAUAUAUAUGUAUGUAUGUAUGUAUGUAUGUAUGUAUGUAUUUUAGUGUCUUUCUCACUUUGUUAAAAAGAGAAUAACCUCAUUAUAUAUGUAUAUAUAUUUUUCUAAUUUGAAAUUAAAGUUCGGGCUUUUUUUUUUACCAUUUUACAAUAUUGUAGAAUUGGUUUACAAUAGUAUAAACUUGUCCUGCAUUUUCAUAACCUACGAGAUUCUUCUAUUGACAAAUUUUCAUAUAUAUAUAUAUAAGUGGGGGAAUGACUUUUCCAGUAUUGUAAAAUCAUUUACUGCAUUGUAAAAUUCUUUUACAACAAUGUAAAAGUUUUUCCUAUACUUUAAUAAAGUACAGAAUUUUUGGAAAAUUUUCAUCUAUAUAUAAUUUUUUGCAGACAUCCACUUUUACAUCUCUGAAAACACCUAGUCCGCACAUAAUUUUGAGCAGACAUAUAUGCAUGUAUAUAUUAAGUAAUUUAAUUCAUUAUAUUCUUUUACAGAUGUAGCUUAUGGUCUGUUGAGGAAGCAUCCAAAGCUGGCAUGGGCAGAAAUUGCUGGCACUGGAAAAAUUUUAGAGUUAUUGAGUAAAAGGCCUAAGGCGUUUGCAAGCGGGAUCCGACUUGGAUAUUGGAAAGGCUUACUGUAUCAAUGUUGGCCUUGUUCUCAACCUUUUCUAAUUAAAGUUGCACUACUUGUUUACUUGGUUCAAUUAUACCUACGUAGACAUAUUAAAAAUUAAAAAAGAAUAAUGAUAAACCACAAACUCUUUGUACAAACAACUUAGCAUAAUAAAAUUAAAAAAAAAUUAGCAUAAUAAGAUUGGUUGAAUAAAAAUAAAAAAAUUAACGUGUGGAUUAUGUGAUAUAUCUCUUCAUAUAUUGGUGGGAGUAGAUUUCAAAUUAUAAUAUAUCUUUAAAUUGUAAUAAUUUAAAAUAAAAUAUAUUAUUAUGCUACAUUAAUCUAUGAAAAUAAUUUAAAUAAAGAGUUAGUAACUUUAUUAUUACUUGAUUAGAAAUUCUAUUAUUAGUUAUACUGAAAUAUUCUAAGUCCCAUAGUUUAACACACGUGGCCUGAUAUUAAAAUUAAAAAAAUGUAAUGAGGUCUUUUGGAUAAUUUCACCGGUAAAAUCAUUUAGACUCAAAGCUUACAAUAAUAUAAGUUAAUUUAAAAUAAAUCUAGCCUAUCUUAGUUUUCCGACUAACCUUCCUUUCUCUUUACUUUUGUGUAUUUGUAGGGAUUCCUGUGCAAGAAGAGUAUAAUCCUCAUGCUCACGCGCAUUCUGAGAAUGUGGAUGGAGACCUGGAGAAGCAGCUCAGUGAAACAUCCCAUUCUGCAUUUGGUUUGUAUAUCUCACACUUCUAUCUAAAUCUUUACGAGCAUUUCAUGACAUAACAAAUGCUAUUUUUAUUCACACCAUCUUACUAUCACUUAAUGAAUAACACAUCAGUUGUAGAAACACAUUAGAAUAAAAUCACUCGGGAGAAAAAAAAACAGAAUAACAUUUGAGAUGUCUAGUUUUCAUUAAAUCUUUGUACGUGCAUGCUGAGCAAAAAAUUUAUUAUCCUGAGGUAUAUCAUAUAUGCUGAUCAAUAAAUUUUUCAGGCAGCCAAUAACUUAUAGUUUAUUUUUGCAGGUUCUUUGCAAAAAAAAUUAAAGAUUGUGCUCUGGAACAACCUCAUGGAGCUAGGUAAUUAAGUAUUGAAGACGUUAUCUUAAAUAAAUUGAGAAAUUUUUUUCUGAAUAUUAAUAUUGUUUAAUUACUAAGAAUUUAAUUAGAGUUGAAUACAUGAAUGCCAGCCCCGAGCAUAAAAUUGAUACGUGAUGUAAAGAUAAUACACGAACAAAAAAUUAGGGCAUUUUCUAUAAAAUUUUUAAAUAACACUUCGUCCUAACAUUUGCAAAUUGUGUCCUAAAUAAAGAAGUGCUGUUUGCAGCAUUUAUUAUCGAUAAUGAAAAAUUUGUUCUUAAGAAUAAAAUUAAAAAACUUGUGAAUAUUGCAGGCAACAGUGUAAGACUAUUACACCUGAUGUGAACCAAUGUCAAGCCAUUUACCAAAAUCAAUCCCAUCAAUCAACCACAUAAGCAUGCAAGGACAUCUCCGACUAAUGUUUUUUAUUAUAUCAUAAAUUAUAUCAUAACUUCCACAGAUCAAGCUAUAGUGUACAAUUUCCUUUUCAAGUCUCAUUUUCCUAGAUAGAGCAAAAGCGUUAAAAAGAAUUUUCAAGUCUCUAUAGAAAUGAAAUCCUUUAAGGUAGUGUUUACUUUUUGGAGUGGGAGUGUGGAGUGUGGAUUCCUCCCACUCCAGUGUUUACUUACCUUAAAAAUGGGGAGAGUGGGAGUGGGAAUCCGUGGGUCCCACCUAAAUUUAGAGUGGGGAGUGGGAUUCCCACUCCCAUUGGGGGAGGUGGGAGUGGGAAUCCACUCCCCCCUCUNNNNNNNNNNNNNNNNNNNNNNNNNNNNNNNNNNNNNNNNNNNNNNNNNNNNNNNNNNNNNNNNNNNNNNNNNNNNNNNNNNNNNNNNNNNNNNNNNNNNNNNNNNNNNNNNNNNNNNNNNNNNNNNNNNNNNNNNNNNNNNNNNNNNNNNNNNNNNNNNNNNNNNNNNNNNNNNNNNNNNNNNNNNNNNNNNNNNNNNNNNNNNNNNAUAUUUAAUAAAAUAAAUAAUAUCAUAUUUAUUAAAAAUAAUAAUUAUAUCAUAUUUAUUUUAUUAAAUUUAAUAAAAUGAAAAUAAAUAAAUAUUAUAUUUAAAUUAAUAAUAUUAAACAUUAAUUUUAAUAAAUAUUAAUUAUUUAUUUAAUAAUAAUAAAUAUUUUAUUUUAAAAAAAUAUUAAUUUUGUACUAUAUUAUCAAUAAUAAUAUUUUAUUUGUGUUGCUAUUAUUAAUAAUUUUUAUUCACAUAAUUUAAAUUAAAAUUAAUAAAAAAUUAUGAUUUACAUAAUUAAGAAUAUUAUUAAUUAUUAAUAAUUUAUAAAUAUAAUAAAAUAUUUAUUUUAUUUUCCAAAUAUAUUUUUUAUUAAUUUUUUAAUUACAAAUUAUAAUUCUGUACAUAAGGAUAAAAUUGUAAUUUAAAUUAAUUUAUUCCCAAUCCAAGACAAAGUAAACAAAUAAUUGGAAUUCUAAUUGACAAUCCAUACUUUCAUUUAGUCUAAGUAAACACCCUACUCUCACUCCCACUCCACACUCCUAAUCCAAGGAUUCCCACUCCAAUCCAAAAAGUAAACGCAGCAUAAGUUUCUCUUCACAUUCUAUUAAAUUUCAUAGAUGUAAUUGAUCCCAUCUCAUCCAAUUGAUAUUGAGAAACAAAAACUUAUCUUUGUCCAUACGUAAGAAUAUGUGGGGACGAAGGCAAGAGAGUGACUUAGUGGUCUUAACCAUACACAAAGGAUAAGAUUUCAUCAUCCACGCAUUCUAGCGAGCUUGCUUAUCUCUUGCUGCAUUGGUUUGUCUCUUUUCGAGUUUCUACAACACCAUUAACGCUGGCUACUAAUGAUGUACGUCUUCCUCAUUCUAAGAUUCAAUAUUUGCAUCAAUAUUUGUAAUGCUCAGUUCUUGAUUUAUUCUUCAAAUUUAUUUCUUGAGCAAUAUAUAAGCCUAUUUAUGCUUAAGGUUUAUAAUUGUGUUCGAUUUCUUUGUUUGGUUGCGCUUGGUUAAGGUGCUAAUUAUUGUUGUGUUGCAAUGUUUUAUAUUUAUAUAUAUAUAUAUGUGUGUGUGUGUGUGUGUGUUUUUUUUUUCCCAUUCUGGGUAACACAUGGAUAAUGAGAGAAAUUUUAUUUAUUCAGAAGAAAAGAUAGGGGAAGUGAGAACAGAAAAUACUAACUCGUGAAUUCCAACAAUCAAAAACAUUAGCAACUAAAUGAAAUUAAGAACUCAAAACUACAAAUGAAGAAUGUGGUAACUAAUAAGCCUAGCCGGUGCCACCAAGGAUAGCCUUGAGCCUCUUCACCGUAGCAUCGUCAAGGAAAGUGGUCUGCUCCACCAAUUGGGAAGACAAGUUGUUAGCAAAUAAGGCGAAAUCGGUGAUUUGGAGUCCAGGAUUCGGGCUGUUGAAGCUAACAAAACCGAGGGCUCCGUCCGCACCGGAAUUUACUUGAAAAUGCAACAACCCUUGUGGAAAGAUCAUGAUAUCUCCCUUCUUAAGCGUCUUUACGUAAACAGUGUUAGCUGAAGAGGAAAUGAACCCGGCAGUUAUGCAGCCAUGCACAACAAGAAGGAUUUCGGAAGCAGCUGGAUGAGUGUGGAUUGGGAUUACGCCACCCUUUGCAAGAUCUAGGCGUGCCAAGGAGAGUCCGAGCCCAUUCACGGCCGGAAAUUGAGCUACAAAUGCAGGUGUCACUGCCGCGUUGAUAAUGCUCGUGGUGUUUCCGGCCACGCCGAGGCCCGAAAAUACGAAGUCGUCAGCGGUAACCAUAGCGGGGGGCACGCAAGGAUAGCCGGCGGGACUAUCCGACAGCUUUAGGUCAGCGACGCAGAAGUCGUUAACCAUAGCAUUGGAGGAAGAGGAUACGAAAGCAAGGAAGAAGAAGAGAAUGUGAAGCAUUUUGACUAAUAUUUAGUGUAGUUAUUUUGAUGAUAAUGGCUAUGGUUGUUUGAUGGGUUUGGUUAGGCUUAUAUAGAGCUUGUGCAUGAGUGGAUUUUGCUGCAAUUUCCAGAAAUGUACAUGCAGGAUUUUAAUGAGUGAAAAGAAAAAGACAAAAUUUUUUGAAGCUGUGAAGCAUCUUGGCCAUUGGGAGCACAAUCAGACAAAUAAAAAAAGGAAUCUCCUUUUUUCAUGUCAUUAAUUUACUAUAUAUAAUACGACUUUAAUAAAUUAUAUUGACUUGCAAAAGUUAAUAUUUUCUUUUAGUACCCUUAAACAUCAAACAGUGACAAGCAUGACGAAGAACGAUGGCCUGAUUUACAUGGCAGUUGUUCUUUGAAAAUUGCACACACACAGAGCCAGGUCGACCCAAACAUGUAGGCUUCCUAAAAUUUGUAACCAAAGUUGAAAUUCUUGGCUAUUAUUUUGAGAGCCGCUGGCAUCGGCUAUAAUGUGAACCUUGUAUGUACAAUUGAGGCGCCGUCAUGCAUGCGAUGACCUUAUUCUGAACUGCACAUUUACAAAGGGCUGCUUCAACGUGUUUAAUCAGUUAUCCUAAAUUCAUCUGCCCGAUAAGGGAGUAAUUCUCAUAGGCUGAAAAUAAUUUUUUGUACUAAAGUAUAUACAACAAUCUUUAGCUUAUAAUUAAGCUAGAUUUCAAGUAUAAAUCAGGCUCGUUUAUUGUCAUAUCAUGUAAAUUUAUUAAUCGAAUUUCAGCCUAAUAAUUUACGGCGGUGCAUGGCAACAGAAAUUCAGGAGCUACACUAAGAUAAAUCAGUAGAAUCGAGGAGAUAAUUGGAAAGUACCGAUUGUUUGUCCAAUUGCGGCGAGAUAGGUGGCACAUGGGAAGAGAGAAGUGAAGUUUAUAAGAAGACAAUCUGACAGCUAAAAGGGUUCGGAGAUAUUUAAAAGUCUUGCGUCCGUCAACUUGGGACCAUGGAGACAUUGUGUGGCCUAUACGAAUUCCCUUCCUGCUAAGGUUUCUACUCGCCGUAUAAUUGGGAUGCAAUGCCAGCCAAUAAAUGCCAAUUUGUCUAUACAUCAGUUAGGAUCCGUUCUGAAUUAUUUUUAGAAUUAUUUUUGGGAGGUAUAAAGUAAUUAAUUUUAUAAGGUAGAAAAUUAAUUUUAGUAUUUAAUAAUUUUUUUUUAGAAAUAACUUUUGAUAAAAUCACCGUAUUUAAAAAAUAAGAAAGGAGUAGUUUUUAAAAAUUUAAUUUUGAGAAUCAGUUUUAUAUUAAUGUAAUUUUAUAUAUCUUCCUAUAUAUUAUAAAAUUUAAAAUUAUCCUUAUUAAUUAAAAAAUAAAAUCAUCAACUUUAAAGAUAUUAUUACUAUUACUAAUGAUAUUGAAAUAAUAAAAUAAAAUUAAUAAUAUAAAAUAUUUAUUUUGGUUAUCAAAUAUUACAUAUACACAUUGAAAAAGAUAUGUUAUUGUAUGUUUAUAAAUGUGUAAAUAAAUUUUAUUCAACAUUAUAUUCAAUUCAAUCUUUACAUUCUUAUAGCAACUUAACAAUGAGAUUUAAUUACUAAACACAUAUGACUGUUUUUAAAACUCACAACUUUUUUAAAAAUAAAAUUUUACCAAAUAAUUAAGUAAUUCUCUUCUCAGCUUAGUAUUUCUACAAAAGCUACAAAAUUACCAAACAUGCCUUUUCUAUAUGUUUAGCAUUGUUUUAGAUUGUCAAAUAAUCACUUAUUUAACAAUGUAGCGAUCAAGAAGCCUUUGGUAAAUUCACUCUAAAGUGAUUAGCAAAUAAUUAGAUAUUAUAUUGAUUUAUAAAAGUAACUUAAAGUAGCUUUUCCAAACUUGAUUAUUUGAAAAUCAAUUUGUUUUAAGGUACAAACCAAAAUUGUCCUCUAUAAAUAUUUAUUCUUUCAAAAAUACCCUCAUACAACAAUUAAUUAAUACAUAAAAUUUUAUAAAUUAAAAGUAAAAUUAAAAAUGACUGCCGGAAUAUAGUCUCAGCGUCGUCACCGGUGAUAUUUUUGUGGCGCCAGCCAAGAGAAAGUUGUCUUUCAGUGAUAAAUCUAAUAGCAAUGAACUUGUCACAAUGAACGACUGAACGUGAUGGUAGUAGUCUCUUUAGCAAAAAUAAUUUGGUGGAGUAAAUGCCACGCAAAGGUUGUGGCAAUAUAAGGCCAUCAUCUAACGGUGGUGAGGUGACUUGCACCACCACCUCCAUUAGAUAGACCAACUCUCGUAUAUUCUAUUCAUGUUGAGAUUAAUAAAAAAUUACCUAUUUUAAUGGCAAGGUUAUGUUGCCGCCACUUAUUUAGGAGACCUUUCCACCAUCACCAUUUUUUACUUUUUUAAAAAAUUAUUUAUUUAUUUAUUUUUAUUUUAUUUUUAUUUUUAUUAUUAUUAUUAUUAUUUUUAUUAUUAUUAUUAUUAUUAUUAUUAUUAUUAUUAUUAAUUUUUUUGCCGAUGAUAUGGAUAUACUGCCGUAGAUCAUAAAAUUUUGAAUCUAACGUUGCUGUAUAUGUCAUUAAAGAACAAUUUUACUGACUGUUGCCGGCAGCGGAAGGUUUAAACUCCAAUCAAUUAUAUUUUUAUCGUAAAUAUUAUUUAUUAGUUAACAUUUAAUAUUGACUUUUUUUUUUGGGGAAAGAUAACAUUAAGUUAUAAAUUAUCUUAUUAAUUGACAUUUAAUGCGUUAAUGAUAAAUAGAAAGUUGAAAAAAAUUAUUAUUCAUUAAGGAAUAAUAUGAUUUAAAAUUAAUUGUAAUUCGUUUCUAUAUAACCAAAAUAUAAUUAGUCUAUUUUGGUCAUUUCAAUAUACACGUUUCUUUACCUUUUUUUAAGUUAAUUUGCCAAACAUACAUGCUAAAUUAUAUGAUAAGUGAUUAUAUUAUAAUCUAAAUUACUAAACUUGUAACCAAAUUAUUUAUAAUGAUAAACUUGUAAUCAAAUUAUUCAUAAAGACGAGUCUUUCAAAAUCUAUCCCAAAAUAGAUUAGUUGCAGAAAAGUUGUUUAAUCACCUUUGAUUUUACAAAGCACUUGCCUAAUGGAAACCCAGGAGUUUACGAAGGUAGAUAGCAAAGAAGUUUAUCUACACCUGUUGAUGAAGACUCAUACGAUAGAACUUAAUUACGUUUCCCUCACACCACGCAAGGCUUCUUUGGAUUCGUCAUCACGUGUGAAUUAAAUUCGUGUUGGGAGAAGACCUUUGAGUUAAAUUCUCUCAUACAACACGGUCAGAAAUCACUAGACCUAUAAGUUUAAGCUUUAAGAUAAAGAGUUCAAACAACAAUAUUAUUUUGUCUAAAUUGAUAGUGGGCUUAUUUUCAAAUUCACGUACCAAAUCCACCGUGUAGUGUGGGUAACUGAACCCACAAUUUGGGCCAGAGAUUUGACAAGGAGAUCACGGGCGGCUGCUAAGGGCUAAGAUGGAGAGCCGAGAGCUCGACAACGAGUGGCGUGAAGAUAGGGUGAUAAAUGAAUGAUGAUGAGCUGUAGACAAUCAGACAUGCAACACCCUUUUUGAAGCUGUAACAUGCGGUCUUCCGUCUUUGGAUUAUUUGUUGUCGUCCACUUAACAAAUUAACAAUGCAGAACUAACAUAUAUACCAAGAGUAAAUUUGUAAAAAUGUUGAUAACUUUCUCUUGUUAUAUAAGUUGAACAUAUAUACCAAUUAGUGAUGGUAGCUUCUUCUGUUUUUUUUUUUUAACUACAUAAAACUAUUGUUUAAAAUUACAACUCAUAUUAUAUGAGAAUACAAAUUCAUAUAAUAUGAUAAUACAACUGAUAUUUACAAAUCAAACUAUUACUGUGACUAAUUUAUAUCAAUUCUUAUAAAAUACUACUUAAAUUUUUAUCAUCACAAAUAUUCGAGAGAUGUCAACUCCUUCGCAGAAGAGAAAACGGCCUCCACUCAAUCAGUGGCGGACCUGCACGUGGGCUAGACUGGGCUGUAGCCCGGUCUAGUUUAGAAAAAAAAUCAUUUACACCCCUUACUUUUUUAAUAAUUUAGUAAAAUAAUAGAGUUUUCAUUUUAUUUUCAUAUAUGUCCCUAACUCAACUACCCUUACAUUUUCAUCAAUUUAGUAUAACAAUAGAGUUUUCAUUUUACAUUUAAAUAUGUCCCUAACUGAAUUACCCAUAUGUUUUCAUUAAUUUUAUAUAAUAAUAGAGUUUUUAUUUUAUUUAUAAAUGUGUCCCUAAGUCAAUUAUAUUAUUUUCAAUUGAAAUUAGUGACUUAUUUUAUAAAAUGAUUAAAUUAUAUAUUUAUUGAAUAGAUUGAAAACAUUAGGGUGUUAAAAUUUUAUUACUGCUUUAAUUUAUUUUAAAAAGCUUCUAAUUAAAAAAUAUAUAUGUCAAUGUAAUAUAACAUCAUCACUAGACUUAAAAGUACUUAUAGAAAUAACAUAUAGUAACAAUUAUCAAUAUUUUCAUAAACUUUUAAUGUGAAUUUUCAGAUUUUAUUUAUUAGUUAUAUUAACUAAGAGGACAAGUUAGAAAAUAAAAUUCUGCUGUACAGAUUUUAUUUAUUAGUUAUAUUAACUAAGAGGACAAGUUAGAAAAUAAAAUUUGAGUAUUUUAAGAGCUUUUAAUAGAAGAAUCAUCAAUUUCUUGUUCUUUAAAGAGAGAUAGAGCAUCUGACAAAGAAACAACUGCACCCAAAUAUCUUUUUACUGAAUUGAGUUUAAUUUAUUAUUGAAACUUUUGACUAAAAAUACUUUUACAAUUUGAAAGGAUGAAUAAAUUUUAAUUAUUUAAUUUAUUAAGUCGGGUAAUUUAGUACUUCACUUCAAGCAUAAAAGUUUUACUUGUAAUUUUUAAUUGAUUGUAAUUACAUGUAUUGAUCUAUUUUAAUUUAAAAUUCUUAAUUGAUUUUUUAAUCCUUAUAUAAUUACAAGUUAUUAUAGGUUGCAAUGUCAAAUUCUAUAAUUAAAAAAUAAUAUUUUCAUAUUUGAGUUGUUUUUUGUUUUCUACUCUUUUUUUAUAAUUAUUUUUGUUUAUAGUACAUAUUUAGAGAUAUAAAGUUCUUGGUAUUCCUCCUUAUUUAAUAUACUUAUUUCUACUUAUAAAUUUUUAUGUUCGCUUCAAAAUAUAAAUUUUAAAAUUUAACCCGGGUAAUAUUAAAUCUUAAAUCCGCUCCUGCACUCAAUUAUUAAUAACUGAGCAAGGAAUAAAUCCCUCCCAUAAUGCAUUUAUGGGGUCGAACAGCUAGCUGCACUUACAUAGGUGAGGGGGGCCGAGUGGUGAUGGUAGCUACUUGGUGUUACAUAAAUUUGGAUUUAGAACCAAACCCAUGGAGAUGGAGUUGAAUUGUGCAGGGCGGGCCACUGACUCGCAAACAGAAAGUCUGGUUCCCAGUCAAAACACUUAUCCCAGGUGAGGUUUAGACCUAUGUGACUGUGAUAUCUGCGAACUGUCUGCUUCACAGGGAAAGAGAUUUUUUUUUUUUCCCCGAAAGAGGGGGGAAGCGAUGUUCAAAUGAACUGCAGAAUGGAGGUAAAAAUAAAUAUCGGGUGAUAAUGAGUGCAAAAGGCUUAGUUAGUUGAGGCAAUGCAAUAAAGGAAGAUAGAGAGAGAUGCAUGUGUUCUGAGGCAGAGAAAACACAGAGUGAAUAGUCCUUCUGAGGCUUGAGUCCUGAGCCCUGAGCCCUGACCCCUCCCUGAGACUGCGUGUGCGCACUUCCCCUGCUGAUACUGCUUUUCCUGGCAACUUAUUAAACUUUCAAUUAAAAAAAUAAAAAAAGGGGUAAAAAGUGCUUUUAUUUGCAAGCAAACAAAUCCAAACCCUUUGACCAAUGGUCUUUCACUUGCACUGCUAUUAGUGUUAUAACCUUCUCACUCAACAUAUUUAAUUGACACAGUUCUUGUUCUGCAAAAGAAAGAAUUCAGAAAAACGAUAACAAAUUUCAGGUCCCUUUUUUAUUCUUGAAUUCCGGCUUGUAGAGUUGUAGUAAAAAGCUCCACAAGAUAACAGAGCAUCAGUUAGCAGAAUUUAUUACAUAUUGACAUUUUAUUUAAUUAAUGGCUACAUUCUCCUUUAAUAAAGUUGGUUUAUCAAUUUUUCAUGGGCGAUUUGAUCACACGAGAUAUACAUAAUACUAUAUAUAUAUAAAUAAAUAAAUAAAAUAUAUAUAUAUAUAUAUAGAGAGAGAGAAAUGUUCCAAUCCAGAAUGUACGGUACAGCAGUAUAUGUCCCUAACUCAACUACCCUUAUAUUUCNNNNNNNNNNNNNNNNNNNNNNNNNNNNNNNNGCUGCUGUACGGCCAAGGCGGAUGUACGGUACAGCAGAUAUAUAUAUAUAUAUAUAUAUUAAAUAAAAAAGCACAUCAAAUCUGUAAUCGGUGAACCCAGAAAGCUCAGAUCAGAAAAUAUGUGCAAAGUCCACUGAAAUAUCAUUUGCUGCAACUUGAAAAAGAAAUGACAUGUAGAUCAUUCUCUUAUCUCACUACACUAAAUAAUAGGCGGAAAUUAAUGUAUACUGAACAGUGCAGAUCAUUUCUCAUACAUACUUAAAGUUCAUUUAUGGUUUGUUAUUCUUGUAUGUUGCAUAACUGGUAGUUGAAAAUGCAGCCUUAUGGAGUAAGUUUAUAACCACAAAUUUUCUAUCUUGGCUUGGAACCUGUUCCAUGAAAGACUUUCUAUUGAAGACAAUCUUCAUCUUAGAUGUAUGUACAUUAUUUCUGCUCGCCACCUCUGUACAACUAUGGAGUGCGACGAAACUAUUAGCCAUCUCUUUCUCAAUUGCCAUUUUGCUAAAGUAUUUUGGGAUUGGCUGUCAUUAUUGUUUAACACACGUUUCCCACCACUUGGCAAUGUUUGCGAUCUUUUGAGGGUUUAUUUUAAGCAUACAUUGAUGUCUUCUCUUGAGAUUUUGUACGAUAUUUGGAAGGCUAUGAAUAAGCUAAAAAGUUUGAAAAUAUUUAACCUUCAAUUGCACGUAUAAAGCAUUAGUGUUUGGGUCAUAUAUGUCACUUGAGUAAACUAUAUUCAAGGUUUUGUAAGUCUUCAUAACCCUUUCUUAUUUAUAAUCUACUUAGUCUCAGCAAUUCUCUCCUCAUUUUUCUAAAGAUUUUUAUAAUUCUAUAGCAUCCUCCAGUUUUUUUAUUG